CCUACGGGGGGCAGCAGUGAGGAAUAUUGGGCAAUGGGCGCAAGCCUGACCCAGCAACGCCGCGUGAAGGAAGAAGGCUUUCGGGUUGUAAACUUCUUUUCUCAGGGACGAAGCAAGUGACGGUACCUGAGGAAUAAGCCACUGCUAACUACGUGCCAGCAGCCGCGGUAAUACGUAGGGGGCAAGCGUUAUCCGGAUUUACUGGGUGUAAAGGGCGUGUAGGCGGGGACGCAAGUCAGAUGUGAAAGCCACGGGCUCAACCUGUGGCCUGCAUUUGAAACUGUGUUUCUUGAGUGCUGGAGAGGCAGGCGGAAUUCCUAGUGUAGCGGUGAAAUGCGUAGAUAUUAGGAGGAACACCAGUGGCGAAGGCGGUCUGCUGGACAGCAACUGACGCUGAGGCGCGAAAGCGUGGGGAGCAAACAGGAAUAGAUACCCCAGUAGUC
This 443-nucleotide ribosomal RNA is filed under the name uncultured bacterium. Its description in RNAcentral is "partial 16S ribosomal RNA". It matches the Rfam family "Bacterial small subunit ribosomal RNA", at positions 338 to 795 of the family's 1533-position model. The record is from RNAcentral.